This 236-nucleotide long non-coding RNA is filed under the name Trifolium pratense (red clover). RNAcentral describes it as "long non-coding RNA (TPRA_LNC012406)". Lineage: Eukaryota; Viridiplantae; Streptophyta; Magnoliopsida; Fabales; Fabaceae. The record is from RNAcentral.
AAAAACAAAAGAAAGAAGAAAUUAACAAUACGAAUAGUACUGAGCCCUUCUUCUUGGAAGUUCGAUACGCCAUCUGCUUCUUCUUCUUCGCUGCAAUUCAUCACUACACCUUCUUCACUGCACCUUCAUCACCUUCAAACCGUUGAUAAAGCUUUGAAACCCUAACUUUCAUAGAAAUUCAACUGAAACUUGAAAAAUUGAUACGUUCCCUUCGCUGCAAGCUUGGAAAUUUGAAC